Molecule: ribosomal RNA, 322 nt
Filed under: uncultured eukaryote
Lineage: Eukaryota
Description: partial 18S ribosomal RNA
Rfam family: Eukaryotic small subunit ribosomal RNA
Source: RNAcentral
CCCUUAGAUGUUCUGGGCCGCACGCGUGCUACACUGAGUGGAUCAGCGGGUCAGGUUGCGCGAAAGUGUUUCCUAAUCUUUAAAUCCGCUCGUGAUGGGGAUUGACGGUUGCAAUUUUCCGUCAUGAACGAGGAAUACCUUGUAAGCGCGGGUCAUCAUCCCGCGCUGAAUACGUCCCUGCCCUUUGUAUACACCGCCCGUCGCUCCUACCGAUUGAGUGGUCCGGUGAGGCUUUGGGAUCUGAGCGGAAAGAGCGUUUCGCUGUUUCUGCCCGGAAAACUCAGUCGAACCUUAUCAUUUAGAGGAAGGAGAAGUCGUAACA